This is a non-coding RNA of Macaca mulatta (Rhesus monkey), 77 nucleotides long. NCBI's taxonomy places the organism in Eukaryota, Metazoa, Chordata, Mammalia, Primates, Cercopithecidae. The record is from Rfam.
UUUGCUCAUAGAUGAUAUGCACAGUACUCCCAGAACUCAUUAAGUUGGUAGAACCAUGCAUGUCAUCUAUGAGCGAA